AACGAACGCUGGCGGCAUGCCUAACACAUGCAAGUCGAACGAGACCUUCGGGUCUAGUGGCGCACGGGUGCGUAGCGCGUGGGAACCUGCCCUUAGGUUCGGAAUAACUCCCCGAAAGGGGUGCUAAUACCGGAUAAUGUCUUCGGACCAAAGAGUUAUCGCCUUUGGAUGGGCCCGCGUUGGAUUAGCUAGUUGGUAGGGUAAAAGCCUACCAAGGCGACGAUCCAUAGCUGGUCUGAGAGGAUGAUCAGCCACACUGGGACUGAGACACGGCCCAGACUCCUACGGGAGGCAGCAGUGGGGAAUAUUGGACAAUGGGCGAAAGCCUGAUCCAGCAAUGCCGCGUGAGUGAUGAAGGCCUUAGGGUUGUAAAGCUCUUUUACCCGGGAUGAUAAUGACAGUACCGGGAGAAUAAGCGCCGGCUAACUCCGUG
This 433-nucleotide ribosomal RNA is filed under the name uncultured bacterium. RNAcentral describes it as "partial 16S ribosomal RNA". It matches the Rfam family "Bacterial small subunit ribosomal RNA", at positions 29 to 507 of the family's 1533-position model. The record is from RNAcentral.